RNAcentral lists this ribosomal RNA (468 nucleotides) under uncultured bacterium. Its description in RNAcentral is "partial 16S ribosomal RNA". It matches the Rfam family "Bacterial small subunit ribosomal RNA", at positions 28 to 507 of the family's 1533-position model. The record is from RNAcentral.
GACGAACGCUGGCGGCGUGCUUAACACAUGCAAGUCGAACGGAAAGGCCCUGCUUUUGUGGGGUGCUCGAGUGGCGAACGGGUGAGUAACACGUGAGUAACCUGCCCUUGACUGUGGGAUAACUUCAGGAAACUGGGGCUAAUACCGGAUAGGAGCUCCUGCUGCAUGGUGGGGGUUGGAAAGGUUCGGCGGUUGGGGAUGGACUCGCGGCUUAUCAGCUUGUUGGUGGGGUAGUGGCUUACCAAGGCUUUGACGGGUAGCCGGCCUGAGAGGGUGACCGGCCACAUUGGGCCUGCGAUACGGCCCAGACUCCUACGGGCGGCAGCAGUGGGGAAUAUUGCACAAUGGGCGGAAGCCUGAUGCAGCAACUCCGCGUGCGGGAUGACGGCCUUCGGGUUGUAAACCGCUUUCGCCUGUGACGAAGCGUGAGUGACGGUAAUGGGUACAGAAGCACCGGCUAACUACGUG